Molecule: ribosomal RNA, 468 nt
Filed under: uncultured bacterium
Lineage: Bacteria
Description: partial 16S ribosomal RNA
Rfam family: Bacterial small subunit ribosomal RNA
Source: RNAcentral
GACGAACGCUGGCGGCGUGCUUAACACAUGCAAGUCGAACGGAAAGGCCCUGCUUUUGUGGGGUGCUCGAGUGGCGAACGGGUGAGUAACACGUGAGUAACCUGCCCUUGACUUUGGGAUAACUUCAGGAAACUGGGGCUAAUACCGGAUAGGAGCUCCUGCUGCAUGGUGGGGGUUGGAAAGUUUCGGCGGUGGGGGAUGGACUCGCGGCUUAUCAGCUUGUUGGUGGGGUAGUGGCUUACCAAGGCUUUGACGGGUAGCCGGCCUGAGAGCGUGACCGGCCACAUUGGGACUGCGAUACGGCCCAGACUCCUACGGGCGGCAGCAGUGGGGAAUCUUGCACAAUGGGCGGAAGCCUGAUGCGGCAGCGCCGCGUGCGGGAUGCCGGCCUUCGGGUUGUAAACCGCUUUCGCCUGUGACGAAGCGUGAGUGACGGUAAUGGGUAAAGAAGCACCGGCUAACUACGUG